RNAcentral lists this non-coding RNA (539 nucleotides) under Toxocara canis (dog roundworm). RNAcentral describes it as "Eukaryotic large subunit ribosomal RNA". It matches the Rfam family "Eukaryotic large subunit ribosomal RNA", at positions 1 to 557 of the family's 3401-position model. The record is from Rfam by way of RNAcentral. Lineage: Eukaryota; Metazoa; Nematoda; Chromadorea; Rhabditida; Toxocaridae.
UGACCUCAGCUCAGUCGUGAGCACCCGCUGAAUUUAAGCAUAUAACUAAGCGGAGGAAAAGAAACUAACGAGGAUUCCUCUAGUAACGGCGAGUGAAUGGGGAAAAGCCCAGCGCUGAAUCCAUUGGCCACUGGUCGCUUGGAAUUGUAGCGUAUAGGUGCGGUUGUCCGUUUGUUUCGCGCACCCAAAGUCCCCUUGAGUGGGGCUAUAGUCCAAAGAAGGUGCUAGACCUGUACGGGUGGCGAGACGAUCGGUUGAUUGCUCCUUGGAGUCGGGUUGCCUGCUGCUGCCCGGUGUUAAAGGCGCACGCAUCGGCAAAUGAGGCAGGCGUAAGCGUUGUGUUGUUCGGAAGUGAGCGGUUGAAGCGCGUAAAGCGUUGACAUGAGAGAAGUGGCGGUGAAGAGUCAGCAGUAAGAAUACGGGUGCAUGUAAAGAGACGAUGAGACCACCCUCUGUAAGAUCGUCGAUUGUUGGCGGUGUUCAGCGUUCGAUCAGCGUCGUUGAUCGACAAAAAGUGGUUUUAUUGAGGUGCGACAGUU